CGUAGUCGAUGGGAAACAGGUUAAUAUUCCUGUACUUGGUGUUACUGCGAAGGGGGGACGGAGAAGGCUAUGUUGGCCGGGCGACGGUUGUCCCGGUUUAAGCGUGUAGGCUGGUUUUCCAGGCAAAUCCGGAAAACCAAGGCUGAGGCGUGAUGACGAGGCACUACGGUGCUGAAGCGACAAAUGCCCUGCUUCCAGGAAAAGCCUCUAAGCAUCAGGUAACAUCAAAUCGUACCCCAAACCGACACAGGUGGUCAGGUAGAGAAUACCAAGGCGCUUGAGAGAACUCGGGUGAAGGAACUAGGCAAAAUGGUGCCGUAACUUCGGGAGAAGGCACGCUGAUAUGUAGGUGAAGCGACUUGCUCGUGGAGCUGAAAUCAGUCGAAGAUACCAGCUGGCUGCAACUGUUUAUUAAAAACACAGCACUGUGCAAACACGAAAGUGGACGUAUACGGUGUGACGCCUGCCCGGUGCCGGAAGGUUAAUUGAUGGGGUUAGCGGCAACGCGAAGCUCUUGAUCGAAGCCCCGGUAAACGGCGGCCGUAACUAUAACGGUCCUAAGGUAGCGAAAUUCCUUGUCGGGUAAGUUCCGACCUGCACGAAUGGCGUAAUGAUGGCCAGGCUGUCUCCACCCGAGACUCAGUGAAAUUGAACUCGCUGUGAAGAUGCAGUGUACCCGCGGCAAGACGGAAAGACCCCGUGAACCUUUACUAUAGCUUGACACUGAACAUUGAGCCUUGAUGUGUAGGAUAGGUGGGAGGCUUUGAAGUGUGGACGCCAGUCUGCAUGGAGCCGACCUUGAAAUACCACCCUUUAAUGUUUGAUGUUCUAACGUUGGCCCCUAAUCGGGGUUGCGGACAGUGUCUGGUGGGUAGUUUGACUGGGGCGGUCUCCUCCUAAAGAGUAACGGAGGAGCACGAAGGUUGGCUAAUCCUGGUCGGACAUCAGGAGGUUAGUGCAAUGGCAUAAGCCAGCUUGACUGCGAGCGUGACGGCGCGAGCAGGUGCGAAAGCAGGUCAUAGUGAUCCGGUGGUUCUGAAUGGAAGGGCCAUCGCUCAACGGAUAAAAGGUACUCCGGGGAUAACAGGCUGAUACCGCCCAAGAGUUCAUAUCGACGGCGGUGUUUGGCACCUCGAUGUCGGCUCAUCACAUCCUGGGGCUGAAGUAGGUCCCAAGGGUAUGGCUGUUCGCCAUUUAAAGUGGUACGCGAGCUGGGUUUAGAACGUCGUGAGACAGUUCGGUCCCUAUCUGCCGUGGGCGCUGGAGAACUGAGGGGGGCUGCUCCUAGUACGAGAGGACCGGAGUGGACGCAUCACUGGUGUUCGGGUUGUCAUGCCAAUGGCACUGCCCGGUAGCUAAAUGCGGAAGAGAUAAGUGCUGAAAGCAUCUAAGCACGAAA
RNAcentral lists this ribosomal RNA (1399 nucleotides) under Escherichia coli. RNAcentral describes it as "partial 23S ribosomal RNA". It matches the Rfam family "Bacterial large subunit ribosomal RNA", at positions 1410 to 2792 of the family's 2925-position model. Lineage: Bacteria; Pseudomonadati; Pseudomonadota; Gammaproteobacteria; Enterobacterales; Enterobacteriaceae. The record is from RNAcentral.